RNAcentral lists this non-coding RNA (45 nucleotides) under Schistosoma mattheei. The record is from RNAcentral. Lineage: Eukaryota; Metazoa; Platyhelminthes; Trematoda; Strigeidida; Schistosomatidae.
AUCCAGCUGGUGAGUCCCAAAUAAAACGAAACCCGUGUUCUGGAU